Molecule: ribosomal RNA, 494 nt
Filed under: uncultured bacterium
Lineage: Bacteria
Description: partial 16S ribosomal RNA
Rfam family: Bacterial small subunit ribosomal RNA
Source: RNAcentral
GGACGAACGCUGGCGGCGUGCCUAACACAUGCAAGUUGAGCGACGAACCAGGGCUUGCCCUGGGGCAAAGCAGCGAACGGGUGAGUAACACGUGGGUAACCUACCCCGAUAACCGGGACAACCCGAGGAAACUCGGGCUAAUACCGGAUGUGCUCACUGGACUUCGGUUCAGUGCGUAAAGGAAGCUUCGGCCUCCGUAUUGGGAGGGGCCCGCGGCCCAUUAGUUUGUUGGUGAGGUAACGGCUCACCAAGACCGCGAUGGGUAGCUGGUCUGAGAGGACGAUCAGCCACACUGGGACUGAGACACGGCCCAGACUCCUACGGGAGGCAGCAGUGGGGAAUCUUGCGCAAUGCGCGAAAGCGUGACGCAGCAACGCCGCGUGGGGGAAGAAGGCCUUCGGGUUGUAAACCCCUUUCAGGAGGGACGAAGGUUCGGCGGUGAAUAGCCGUCCGGACUGACGGUACCUCCACAAGAAGCCCCGGCUAACUACGUG